CCCCACCAGUCUAGUACAUAACUCAACUCUCUCCCUGACCCCCACCAGUCUAGUACAUAACUCUACUCUCUCCCUGACCCCCACCAGUCUAGUACAUAACUCAACUCUCUCCCUGACCCCCACAUGUAUUUCUACACACCCCAUUUAGCCAUACCCCUAGUUUAGCUGUAUUUCUACACACCCCAUUUAGCCAUACCCUAGGUUUAGCUGUAUUUAUACACACCCCAUUUAGCCAUACCCUAGGUUUAGAUGUAUUUAUACACACCCUAUUUAGCCAUACCCUAGGUUUAGCAGUAUUUCUACAGCCCCAAACAUCAUAAUGUGGCUAUGGGACAGAAGAGCAGAGGGGAGAUGGAGAGAGAGGGAGAUGUCAACAGAGAUAGGUCUGACAGACUAACAUGCAGUUAACUCAAUAUCUUUUCAUUACUGACUUCUCACCAGUGAUGUCAUCAUAACCAGUAACCUUUUCAA
This 471-nucleotide long non-coding RNA is filed under the name Salmo salar (Atlantic salmon). RNAcentral describes it as "lncRNA (ENSSSAG00000096062.1)". Lineage: Eukaryota; Metazoa; Chordata; Actinopteri; Salmoniformes; Salmonidae. The record is from RNAcentral.